RNAcentral lists this ribosomal RNA (445 nucleotides) under Salmonella enterica subsp. enterica serovar Rissen. Its description in RNAcentral is "bacterial SSU rRNA". It matches the Rfam family "Bacterial small subunit ribosomal RNA", at positions 22 to 463 of the family's 1533-position model. The record is from RNAcentral. Lineage: Bacteria; Pseudomonadati; Pseudomonadota; Gammaproteobacteria; Enterobacterales; Enterobacteriaceae.
GCUCAGAUUGAACGCUGGCGGCAGGCCUAACACAUGCAAGUCGAACGGUAACAGGAAGCAGCUUGCUGCUUYGCUGACGAGUGGCGGACGGGUGAGUAAUGUCUGGGAAACUGCCUGAUGGAGGGGGAUAACUACUGGAAACGGUGGCUAAUACCGCAUAACGUCGCAAGACCAAAGAGGGGGACCUUCGGGCCUCUUGCCAUCAGAUGUGCCCAGAUGGGAUUAGCUUGUUGGUGAGGUAACGGCUCACCAAGGCGACGAUCCCUAGCUGGUCUGAGAGGAUGACCAGCCACACUGGAACUGAGACACGGUCCAGACUCCUACGGGAGGCAGCAGUGGGGAAUAUUGCACAAUGGGCGCAAGCCUGAUGCAGCCAUGCCGCGUGUAUGAAGAAGGCCUUCGGGUUGUAAAGUACUUUCAGCGGGGAGGAAGGUGUUGUGGUUAA